This is a non-coding RNA of Gossypium hirsutum (cotton), 61 nucleotides long. The record is from Rfam. Lineage: Eukaryota; Viridiplantae; Streptophyta; Magnoliopsida; Malvales; Malvaceae.
GCGGAUGUAGCCAAGUGGAUUGUGAAUCCACCAUGCGCGGGUUCAAUUCCCGUCGUUCGCC